GGGGGUGUAGCUCACCUGGCUAGAGCGCUAGCAUGGCAUGCUAGAGGUAACGGGUUCAAGUCCCGUCAUCUCCA
Molecule: transfer RNA, 74 nt
Filed under: Treponema sp.
Lineage: Bacteria; Pseudomonadati; Spirochaetota; Spirochaetia; Treponematales; Treponemataceae
Also listed under: 4 other names
Description: tRNA-Ala
Rfam family: tRNA
About the family: Transfer RNA (tRNA) molecules are approximately 80 nucleotides in length. Their secondary structure includes four short double-helical elements and three loops (D, anti-codon, and T loops). Further hydrogen bonds mediate the characteristic L-shaped molecular structure. tRNAs have two regions of fundamental functional importance: the anti-codon, which is responsible for specific mRNA codon recognition, and the 3' end, to which the tRNAs corresponding amino acid is attached (by aminoacyl-tRNA synthetases). tRNAs cope with the degeneracy of the genetic code in two manners: having more than one tRNA (with a specific anti-codon) for a particular amino acid; and 'wobble' base-pairing, i.e. permitting non-standard base-pairing at the 3rd anti-codon position.
Source: RNAcentral